Molecule: ribosomal RNA, 450 nt
Filed under: uncultured bacterium
Lineage: Bacteria
Description: partial 16S ribosomal RNA
Rfam family: Bacterial small subunit ribosomal RNA
Source: RNAcentral
CCUACGGGUGGCAGCAGUAAGGAAUAUUGGUCAAUGGACGAAAGUCUGAACCAGCCAUCGCGCGGGCAGGAUGAAAGCCCUAUGGGUUGUAAACUGCUUUUAGCAGAGAAGAAAAGCUUUCAUUAAUGAGAGUCUGACGGUAUCUGCAGAAUAAGCACCGGCUAACUCCGUGCCAGCAGCCGCGGUAAUACGGAGGGUGCGAGCGUUAUCCGGAAUUACGGGGUUUAAGGGGUGCGUUGACGGCGUUGGAGAAAUCUUGUCGCGUAACGAUAAAAUUGCCAAUGUUACUGGUACUCUUGAAUUGGGUUGAGGUUAGCGGAAUGUGACAUGUAGCGGUGAAAUGCAUAGAUAUGUCAUGGAACACCAAUUGCGAAGGCAGCUAACUGGGCCUUGAUUGACGCUGAGGCACGAAAGCGUGGGUAGCGAACAGGAUUAGAUACCCGAGUAGUC